This is a non-coding RNA of Schistosoma margrebowiei, 78 nucleotides long. NCBI's taxonomy places the organism in Eukaryota, Metazoa, Platyhelminthes, Trematoda, Strigeidida, Schistosomatidae. The record is from Rfam.
AGCUUUCCGAAUCCGUGCAGAGAUUUCGUCAGACACCAAUCCAUUAGGGCUGAUAAGACUCCCAAGAUGAGUGAAGUU